Molecule: transfer RNA, 73 nt
Filed under: Dallia pectoralis (Alaska blackfish)
Lineage: Eukaryota; Metazoa; Chordata; Actinopteri; Esociformes; Umbridae
Description: tRNA-OTHER
Rfam family: tRNA
About the family: Transfer RNA (tRNA) molecules are approximately 80 nucleotides in length. Their secondary structure includes four short double-helical elements and three loops (D, anti-codon, and T loops).
Source: RNAcentral
GGAGUUGGUAUCUCAGUGGUAGAGUGCAUUCGUUGUUUGUAUGACGCCCUGGGUUCAAAUCCCAGCAGCUCCC